AUCUGGAGAUCAUCCCUCUUGGAGUCCCUUUGUGAGCCCAGGACAUGGUGUCAGUGUUCAGCUCCCUGAAUGAGCUCACUAUAAAGCUUCAUGGGAAGUUAAGAUGAGGUGGCAAUGUUCAGCCAGCAUCCAGGAAUGAAGAGCAGAACUGGGUUCAACUGUCACCCAACUGCAGAUAUUCAGAAAUUCCACAGCCAAACUCUCAAGAAUAGUCUUGAUGGGUUCAGAUAGAUAUUUGUGCUCUGAAAAGUAGAAUGGUAAUUAAUUGAGGAUGAUGCCCAGUCCAAUAUGGAAUCACUAAGGAUGAAGGAGCUCAGGAUGCAGAAGUAUUUGAAUAUUUAAGAUUGUAUAUUCUUUCUUUCAAUUUUCUUGACCAAGGAGACAAAGUCCAUUUAAAAUUGAUUUGCAUGUAGUUGACAUAGUGCAAUAGUUAUUUUAUAUCCUUAGUGAGAGAGUACUUGUAUAACAAUAUGCAGUAAAAAAAAAAAAUAACCAAGGAUGCCAGGGAAGCACUGAAAAUAAUGGGUCAGAGCUGCAUAUGCAUCUGGAGAGAGUGAGAAAGAAUUUCAUGGGAAAACCUUUUGGAUAAAGAAAAGUUAUGAAUGAUGAAAUGAUGAAAGAACUCAGUUCAGUAGGAUAUAGGAGAGCACAAAUUUAUGCAUUCAAGCGAGGAGGGCAUUGUCUAUGACCUUCAUUACAGGUUGGAUCAGGGCUGCAAAGACCUGUAUGAACUGGGGAAUGGUGGAAGUUAGACUCUAAAUAGAUUUACUGUAUUACUGUUCAGAAAUGAAAUAUGAGCUGCACUUCAUAGGCAAAUGUCUAAACAUUUCCAUUUCCCCAGGAGCAUAUUGCAAUUGUAUUUUCUUCAUAAAGGAAGUUUUUGAAGUAAAAAAUGAUUACAUUUGCAAAAUAAUAAGGAAGAUAAAACCAUUUCAAAUUGAGAAAGUAUAUUUGCUACAAAAAAUUCUGUAGAAAUAGGGCCUUCAUGUUCUAGCACUUUUGCAUGCAUAGUAAUUCUAUCAGAAGUACAUUAUAUCAUUAUUUCAGGCACUUGAUUAAUUUUCAUUUGAAGUAGUUAUUUGGGAAUGAUAGCAAGCCAGCUGGGCUAUUGAAAACUCUAGUUGGAUUCACAAGCAUAAGCAUUGCAUAAGCAAUAGGCUGUAGUGGGUACCUAGAUGUGAAUGGCCCACCUGAAGCAUUUAAGAGUAUAAAUUAAUUUGUUAAUGCUUCUUGGUUCAUGCAGGAACAUUGUAUAUUAUUGAGCUUUUGAGGAAAAGGAUAUUCAGGGUAAAGGAAAGUAUUCCAGAAAGUAAGAGAACUUUGUGAAGAAAUGGAAUUGAAGAUAAUGAAUGAUUCAACACAUUCAUUCAGGACUAUGUGUCUACAGCUUUGGCUUAUGUGUGCAUGCUUGGAAAUACUGAAAGAGGAGUUGCCAAGACUACAUGAGAAUGCUAGCCCCCAUCUUCUAUUGGCUUCAUCCUUAGGUCCUUUAACAAAAGAUUAAUCUCCAAAGUAACUGUUUGGUAGGUCUGGGGAUUUGUUCAGGUGAAAAAAAAUGUAGAACUUUGAAAAUACGUUGUUCAACCACACAAAAACAAACUUCUGCAAACAUAUGUGC
RNAcentral lists this long non-coding RNA (1618 nucleotides) under Gallus gallus (chicken). RNAcentral's name for it is "lncRNA (ENSGALG00010002190.1)". Lineage: Eukaryota; Metazoa; Chordata; Aves; Galliformes; Phasianidae. The record is from RNAcentral.